RNAcentral lists this ribosomal RNA (998 nucleotides) under Triticum aestivum (bread wheat). RNAcentral's name for it is "partial small subunit ribosomal RNA". The record is from RNAcentral. Lineage: Eukaryota; Viridiplantae; Streptophyta; Magnoliopsida; Poales; Poaceae.
GUCGCUUCCUCUGUCUACAUCCGCUGCACCCAUCCAUUCCCCACCUCCAAAUCCCUAGCCCGGCUGCCGCCAGCUCCGCCCAGCUCUGCUGCCGUCACCGCCACCAACUCUCACCGUCGUUUUCUCCGUUGGCCUCGUGCGACAUGAAGGGGUGGGCAUCUUGAGGCGGGAAGUAGCAGGUUGGCCGCUGUGGGGCAGGGGCAGCUUCGUCGUUGAGCCAUCCUCGCCCGCUCCAUGGGUGUGACCUCGCCGGCGCCGACAAGACGAAGGACGACAAGCCCUGGGCGAAGAUCACAGGUGAGGUGCGGUACAUGGAUGUUGAUUCUUUCAAGGUGCGUGCCGUCCCUCUGCUGAUGCUGUUGUAGGAUUGUUUGAUUGUAGGGUGAUCUUUAGGCUGCCAGGACCAAAACAUUUCAUGCAUUCAAAUCUUGAAGUUGUUGUAUGAUUGUAGGGGACAGAAACAUUGCCUGAAUUUGACUAGAGUAUACUUGUAUCCUCUCCUGAUGCUGUGUUCAAUGGCACUGACAAUAGUGACCAAUGUUGUCAUUUUAUGAACCCAACAUGAAGAGUUUGUUGUGAAGGAUACAAUUAUGGUCGUAGAUUCCUUGUCUGUCAUGUUAAGGGUUAUGAUACAUGUGCUUAUCUGAAGUGGGUGGACAAAGAGCGGCAGGGGAGGCCUAGGCAGGUGAUUGGCAAACUUGCUGAAGAGAAUUUGGCUCUACAAAAAACUGUGUUUGCCAAGGAUGCUAAAAUUAUGAGGCUGAAGGUAGAUAGGAAGGCCAUGAACAUGAAGCAUAAGAAGGAGAUGAAGAGUAGGGAUAGUAGGGAACUUUGGUUAGCUUCUUUGGUCUGCUGCUCUGUAGUGCUGUAUGGUGUUGUAGCUUUGAUGAUAAGAGGUUUUGUGCAAGUUAGGUAAUGUACCAUUUAACAUUAUGUUAGGGGUCAAACUAUCUGUAAUCAGUGGCUACCUAUUAGCUAUAAUGUUGAGUGUUGUAAAC